RNAcentral lists this unclassified non-coding RNA (216 nucleotides) under Hevea brasiliensis (rubber tree). Lineage: Eukaryota; Viridiplantae; Streptophyta; Magnoliopsida; Malpighiales; Euphorbiaceae. The record is from RNAcentral.
GCCAACCAACAUAAUGUCUAUACCUCAACUUGUUUGGAACAGAAGCGUAGUUGUUGUUUGUUACAACAUACUAGCGGCCGGUGAAAUCACUAAAAGUGUUGGUUGCAGUUGAAGCUGAUGAUCCUGUAGUCAUGGAUGCGUCGAAUGCUUUACUCUUAUCCAUGCUAAUGAUAGUAGGCCUGCUUGGAGUUCUUGAUUCUGUGCUACGAUCGCUUA